RNAcentral lists this ribosomal RNA (909 nucleotides) under Triticum aestivum (bread wheat). RNAcentral's name for it is "partial small subunit ribosomal RNA". The record is from RNAcentral. Lineage: Eukaryota; Viridiplantae; Streptophyta; Magnoliopsida; Poales; Poaceae.
AUGGGCGAAAUUCCCGAACCAGAGGUUCCCAAGCCCACGCCGGAGCCAUCGACGUGGCUCAGCAUGAGAGUCUUCUACCUGCGGCUGAGCAGGUGCGAGGUGGACGAGUCCAUGCUGGACUCCCUGACCAUCACCCACGCCCCGCUCACCUCCGACACCGUCCUGGAAGUGAACGGCGAGAGGCCAAGAAGCACCGACAACCACCACGGCCACGUCUCGUGCCCCCUCCGCAGGGACCGCGUGGACGCGGCGUCGCGGGAGGCCUCCUUCGUCAGCACGGCGACCGUGAGGAUGGCCGGGAGCGUGCGCUUCGAGGUCCGCGUCGGCGGCCGCGAGAGGCUCCUCGUGGGGAUCAUGGAGAUGUGCGACGUGGCGGAGGAGAAGAAGGGGUGGGUCAUGAAGUGCCAGGUCGCCAUGCAGCGGUGCUCAGGGUUCGUGAAAGGCGGCGGGGAGGAGGGCGCCAAGUCGCCCAUGGUCGAGGUGUACGUGGCGAGCCUGUUCCGGGGCAGCCCGGUCGUGUUCACCAAGGCGAUGAAGCUGCGGCUCAGGAGGACGCGCCAGGUCAAGGCGCCUUUCAUGGAGCCCAUCCCCGAGUGCGGCGAGCACGCCGACGACGACGCGAAAGAAACGCCGCCUGACCAGAAGCAUGAUCCACAGGAAUCGGAGUACAGGUGCUACAGGCCGGAGCCGGGCAUGGACGACGUCGACUACGACAGCUUGUACACGAGAUCGGCGGGCCUGGACGGCGAGGACAGCGAGCUCUCGUGGUUCACCGCCGGCGUCAGAGUGGGCGUGGGCAUCAGCCUGGGCAUCUUCCUCGGCGUCGGCAUCGGCGCUGGACUCCUGGCCCGUUCCUACCAGUCCACCUCCAGGAGUAUGAGGCGGCGGCUCAUCUCCGGCCUGCUCUGA